This 448-nucleotide ribosomal RNA is filed under the name uncultured bacterium. RNAcentral describes it as "partial 16S ribosomal RNA". It matches the Rfam family "Bacterial small subunit ribosomal RNA", at positions 330 to 793 of the family's 1533-position model. The record is from RNAcentral.
UCCAGACUCCUACGGGAGGCAGCAGUGGGGGAUAUUGCACAAUGGGGGGAACCCUGAUGCAGCGACGCCGCGUGGGUGAAGGAGCGUUUCGGCGCGUAAAGCCCUAUCGGCAGGGAAGAAGGAGGACGGUACCUGACUAAGAAGCCCCGGCUAACUACGUGCCAGCAGCCGCGGUAAUACGUAGGGGGCAAGCGUUAUCCGGAUUUACUGGGUGUAAAGGGGGCGCAGACGGCAGCGCAAGCCAGGAGUGAAAGCCCGGGGCCCAACCCCGGGACUGCUCUUGGAACUGCGCGGCUGGAGUGCAGGAGGGGCAGGCGGAAUUCCUGGUGUAGCGGUGAAAUGCGUAGAUAUCAGGAGGAACACCGGUGGCGAAGGCGGCCUGCUGGACUGCAACUGACGUUGAGGCCCGAAAGCGUGGGGAGCAAACAGGAUUAGAUACCCCAGUAAG